Molecule: ribosomal RNA, 469 nt
Filed under: uncultured bacterium
Lineage: Bacteria
Description: partial 16S ribosomal RNA
Rfam family: Bacterial small subunit ribosomal RNA
Source: RNAcentral
GACGAACGCUGGCGGCGUGCUUAACACAUGCAAGUCGAACGGUGAAGCUCCAGCUUGCUGGAGUGGAUCAGUGGCGAACGGGUGAGUAACACGUGAGCAACCUGCCCCAGACUCUGGAAUAAGCGCUGGAAACGGCGUCUAAUACUGGAUACGAGAUCAAGCCGCAGGGUUAUGGUCUGGAAAGGUUUUCGGUUUGGGAUGGGCUCGCGGCCUAUCAGCUUGUUGGUGAGGUAAUGGCUCACCAAGGCGACGACGGGUAGCCGGCCUGAGAGGGCGACCGGCCACACUGGGACUGAGACACGGCCCAGACUCCUACGGGAGGCAGCAGUGGGGAAUAUUGCACAAUGGGCGAAAGCCUGAUGCAGCGACGCCGCGUGAGGGAUGACGGCCUUCGGGUUGUAAACCUCUUUCAGCAGGGAAGAAGCGAAAGUGACGGUACCUGCAGAAGAAGCACCGGCUAACUACGUGC